UGAGGAAUAUUGGUCAAUGGUCGAAAGACUGAACCAGCCAUGCCGCGUGAAGGUCACGGCCCUAUGGGUCUUAAACUUCUUUUGUCAGGGAGCAAUAAGUCUCACGUGUGGGAGGAUGAGAGUACCUGACGAAUAAGCAUCGGCUAACUCCGUGCCAGCAGCCGCGGUAAUACGGGGGAUGCAAGCGUUAUCCGGAUUUAUUGGGUUUAAAGGGUGCGUAGGCGGUAUUGUAAGUCAGCGGUGAAAUUUCUGAGCUUAACUUAGAACGUGCCGUUGAUACUGCAGUACUAGAAUGCGGAUGCCGUGGGAGGAAUGUGUGGUGUAGCGGUGAAAUGCAUAGAUAUCACACAGAACACCGAUUGCGAAGGCAUCUCACGAAUCCGCAAUUGACGCUGAGGCACGAAAGCGUGGGGAUCAAACAGG
RNAcentral lists this ribosomal RNA (423 nucleotides) under uncultured prokaryote. RNAcentral describes it as "bacterial SSU rRNA". It matches the Rfam family "Bacterial small subunit ribosomal RNA", at positions 355 to 776 of the family's 1533-position model. The record is from RNAcentral. RNAcentral also lists the same sequence under 1 other name.